This is a non-coding RNA of Planctomycetes bacterium RIFCSPHIGHO2_12_39_6, 62 nucleotides long. NCBI's taxonomy places the organism in Bacteria, Pseudomonadati, Planctomycetota. The record is from Rfam.
UUACGUCCAUGCGAUGGAGUUCGCCUAACCGCUAUAACAUAGCUGAUAACUCCUAUUGAAGC